Small nuclear RNA from Hippopotamus amphibius kiboko, 107 nucleotides. The record is from RefSeq and is a predicted model, not a curated record. NCBI's taxonomy places the organism in Eukaryota, Metazoa, Chordata, Mammalia, Artiodactyla, Hippopotamidae.
AUGCUCAUUUUGGCCGCACAUAAACUAAAAUUGGAAUAAUAUAGAGAAGAUUAGCAUAGCCCCUGCACAAGCAUGACAUGCAAAUUUGUUAAGUGUUCCAUAUUUUU